Molecule: ribosomal RNA, 433 nt
Filed under: uncultured bacterium
Lineage: Bacteria
Description: partial 16S ribosomal RNA
Rfam family: Bacterial small subunit ribosomal RNA
Source: RNAcentral
AACGAACGCUGGCGGCAUGCCUAACACAUGCAAGUCGAACGAGACCUUCGGGUCUAGUUGCGCACGGGUGCGUAACGCGUGGGAACCUGCCCUUAGGUUCGGAAUAACUCCCCGAAAGGGGUGCUAAUACCGGAUAAUGUCUUCGGACCAAAGAUUUAUCGCCUUUGGAUGGGCCCGCGUUGGAUUAGCUAGUUGGUAGGGUAAAAGCCUACCAAGGCGACGAUCCAUAGCUGGUCUGAGAGGAUGAUCAGCCACACUGGGACUGAGACACGGCCCAGACUCCUACGGGAGGCAGCAGUGGGGAAUAUUGGACAAUGGGCGAAAGCCUGAUCCAGCAAUGCCGCGUGAGUGAUGAAGGCCUUAGGGUUGUAAAGCUCUGUUACCCGGGAUGAUAAUGACAGUACCGGGAGAAUAAGCGCCGGCUAACUCCGUG